This is a long non-coding RNA of Oncorhynchus tshawytscha (Chinook salmon), 369 nucleotides long. NCBI's taxonomy places the organism in Eukaryota, Metazoa, Chordata, Actinopteri, Salmoniformes, Salmonidae. The record is from Ensembl.
GGCGAUAAGGAGAGGUGGAUGAGCAGGUGCUAAGGAGAGGGAGGAGGAGGCGCAAAGGAGUGGGAGGAGGAGGCGAUAAGGAGAGGUGGAUGAGUAGGUGCCAAGGAGAGCUGGAUGAGGAGGCGCUAAGGAGAUGUGGAUGAGGAGGUGCCAAGGAGAGCUGGAUGAGGAGGCGCUAAGGAGAUCUGGAUGAGGAGGUGCUAUGGAGACGUGGAGGAGGCGCUAAGAAGAGGUGGAUGAGCAGACACCAAGGAGAGGUGGAAGAGGAGGCGCUAAGGAGAGGUGGAUGAUCAGGCACUAAGGAGAGGUGGAUGAUCAGGCACUAAGGAGAGGUGGAUGAGCAGGUGCUAAGGAGAGGAAGGAGGAGGG